Molecule: long non-coding RNA, 386 nt
Organism: Contarinia nasturtii (swede midge)
Lineage: Eukaryota; Metazoa; Arthropoda; Insecta; Diptera; Cecidomyiidae
Exons: 2
Source: RefSeq, a predicted model, not a curated record
GUUCUUCUACAGUGUGAUGCAAACAACGGCAACAAAUGGUUAUAUGACCAAGCAAAAAACCAAAUUGUCCACAUCGCAACGGGCUUGUGUUUGGCCACUGAGCUUUGGAUGGUGAUCGUAACACCAUGUAAUUUAAAGGACGAAAGACAACAUUGGAAAAUCUUAAGUUUCAAUGAAUACAAGCAAAAUUUAAUGCUUAAUAUUGAUAAAAUCUAGUAAUCUCAAAUGCUAUAAAUGUGAUAUAUUAGGUGAACAACAAUAUUAUUAGAAAAUCAGCUACUCAAACAUUUGCACACAUUUUGCCAAAACCAUUUGCCAAUUAUUUUUUGGAAUGAUUACAUCUAAAUUCGAUUCAUGUUAAAUAAAUAACGAUGUUGUUUGAUUAA